UCUUAAUUUAAAAUUAAUUUAUUGCUAAACAGUGCUAAUGAUCAUCUCAGCCUUCAGCGAGUUGUAAUCAUUUUGCUGAUGGAGAGUCUUGCCUCAAUGUUCAUGGCUGCUGACUGACCAGGGUGGUGGUAUCUGAAGGCUGGAGUGGCUGUGACAAUUUCUUAAAAUAAGGACAAUAGUGCAGUUUGCUGCAUUGAUUGACUCUUCCUUUCAUGAAAGAUUUCUCUGUAGCAUAUGAUGCUGUUUGAUAGCAUUUUACCCAAAGAAGAACUUCUUUCAAAAUUGGAGUCAAUCCUUUCAAACCCUGCCACUGCUGUAUCAUCUAAGUUUAUGUAAUAUUAUAAAUCCUUUGUGGUCAUGUCAACAAUGUUCACGGCAUUUCACCAGGAGUAGAUUCCACCUCAAGAAACCACUUUCUUAUCUGUAAGAAGGAACUCCUCAUCCAUCCACAUUUUAUUAUGAUAUUGCAGCAUUUCAGUCACAUCUUGAGGCUUCAUGUCUCAUUCUAGUUCUUUGCCUCUUUCCUCCACAUCUGCAGUUGCUUCCUACACUAAAGUCUUGAACCUCUCAAAGUCAUCCAUGAGGGUUGGAAUCAGCUUCUCAACUCCUAUUAAUGUUGCUAUUUUAGCCUUUUCCCAUGGUUCAUGAAUGUCUUAAUGGCAUCUAAAAUGGUGAGUUUUUUCCAGAAGGUUUUCAGUGGACUUUGCCCAGAUCCAUCAGAGGAAUCACUGUCUAUGGCUGCUAUAGCUUAAUGAAAUGUAUUUCUUAAAUAUUAAGAUUUGAAAGUUAAAAUUACUCUGAUUCAUGGGCUGCAGAAUGGAUGUUGUGUUAGCAGGCAUGAAAACAACAUUAAUUUCCUUGUACAUCUCCAUCAGAGGUCUUGGGUUACCCAGGUGCAUUGUCAAUGAGUAGUAAUAUUUCUACUUAUUGUAGAAUUUUUUUCUUUUUUUCCUUCGUUUUUCCAACAGUGGGCUUAAGAUAUUGAAUAAACCACGCUAUAAACGUGCUGUAAUUUAGUCCUUGUUAUUCCACUUAUAGAGCACAGGCAAAGUAGAUUUAGCAUAAGGUUAAGAACCCUGGGAUUUUUAAAAUGAGAAAUGAGCAUUGGCUUCAACUUAAAGUUACCAGCUAUAUUAGCCCCUAACGAGAGUCAGCCAGUCCUUUGAAACUUGGAAGCCAGGCAUUGACUUCUUGCUAGCUAUGAGAGUCUUAGAUGACAUCUUCUUCUAAUAUGUGACUGUUUUACCUCCACUGAAAAUCUGUUUAGUGUAGCCACCUUCAUUAUUGAUCUUAGCUAGAUCUUCUGUAUAACAUGCUGCAGCUUCUACAUCAGCACUUGCUGCUUCACCUUGUACUUUUGUAUUGUGGAGAUGGUUUCUUCUUUUAAACCUCAUGAACCACCCUUUGCUAGCGUCAGUCUUUUCUUGUGCAGCUUCCUCACCUCUCAGCCUUCAUAGAAUUAAAGAGAAUUAGGGCCUUGCUCUGGAUUCGGUUUUGGAUUAAGGGAAUGUUGUGGCUCGUUUGAUCUUC
Molecule: long non-coding RNA, 1530 nt
Filed under: Homo sapiens (human)
Lineage: Eukaryota; Metazoa; Chordata; Mammalia; Primates; Hominidae
Description: HSALNT0272466
Source: RNAcentral